GGCUGAUCGUGCCCACCUGUGGCUACAAAAGGCUGGAGGUCCUUCCCUCAUUGGCUGCUGCUUAGUACUGAACAUGCAGUUUGCCCUUUGUGCCUCCCUCUUCGAUCAUUUAUUUCUUUACUUUCUAACAAUAUGAGUUGAGGAGACAGCAGAAUAACAAUAGAUUUUUAAAGCUGGCAGCUUCUUACACCAGACUGAGGCUGCUUCUGGUUCCAGUGCAAUGACCAGUUUGUUUUCCUUCCCUGUGGUAAUAAUUCCUGCCUAUAAAUCAAAGCUUCUCUCAUGAACUGUUUUGCUGAAGGAUCCCAGAUGGCAGGAACAGUCACCACCCAGGUGAAGUCAGAGGCUAUGAACUGCUUCCCACCAGCAUUUUCUGAGAUGAAUUUCAGAGCGUCCUCCUUCAGAUAUCUCAG
Long non-coding RNA from Oreochromis niloticus (Nile tilapia), 413 nucleotides. RefSeq lists it as uncharacterized. The transcript is spliced from 3 exons. Lineage: Eukaryota; Metazoa; Chordata; Actinopteri; Cichliformes; Cichlidae. The record is from RefSeq and is a predicted model, not a curated record.